Molecule: ribosomal RNA, 440 nt
Filed under: uncultured bacterium
Lineage: Bacteria
Description: partial 16S ribosomal RNA
Rfam family: Bacterial small subunit ribosomal RNA
Source: RNAcentral
CCUACGGGAGGCAGCAGUGGGGAAUAUUGCACAAUGGGGGAAACCCUGAUGCAGCGACGCCGCGUGAGUGAAGAAGUAAUUCGUUAUGUAAAGCUCUAUCAGCAGGGACGAAAAUGAUGGUACCUCAUUACGAAGCCCCGGCUACCUACGUCCCAGCAGCCGCGGUAAUACGUCGGGGUCAAGCCUUAUCCGGAUUUACUGGGUGUAAGGGGAGCGUAGACGGCAGUGCAAGUCUGGAGUGAAAGGCGGGGGCUCAACCCCCAGACUGCUCUGGAAACUGUACGGCUGGAGUGCAGGAGAGGGAAGUGGAAUUCCUAGUGUAGAGGUGAAAUGCGUAGAUAUUAGGAGGAACACCAGUGGCGAAGGCGGCUUACUGGACUGUAACUGACGUUGAGGCUCGAAAGCGUGGGGAGCAAACAGGAUUAGAUACCCGAGUAGUC